UACGUAGGGAGCAAGCGUUGUUCGGAUUUACUGGGCGUAAGGGGCGCGUAGGCGGCAUGACAAGUCACUUGUGAAAUCUCUGGGCUUAACCCAGAACGGCCAAGUGAUACUGUCGCGCUAGAGUGCAGAAGGGGCAAUCGGAAUUCUUGGUGUAGCGGUGAAAUGCGUAGAUAUCAAGAGGAACACCUGAGGUGAAGACGGGUUGCUGGGCUGACACUGACGCUGAGGCGCGAAAGCCAGGGGAGCAAACGGG
This 253-nucleotide ribosomal RNA is filed under the name uncultured bacterium. RNAcentral's name for it is "partial 16S ribosomal RNA". It matches the Rfam family "Bacterial small subunit ribosomal RNA", at positions 524 to 776 of the family's 1533-position model. The record is from RNAcentral.